This 538-nucleotide ribosomal RNA is filed under the name Bacillus subtilis. RNAcentral describes it as "bacterial SSU rRNA". It matches the Rfam family "Bacterial small subunit ribosomal RNA", at positions 975 to 1511 of the family's 1533-position model. The record is from RNAcentral. Lineage: Bacteria; Bacillati; Bacillota; Bacilli; Caryophanales; Bacillaceae.
CAGGUCUUGACAUCCUCUGACAAUCCUAGAGAUAGGACGUCCCCUUCGGGGGCAGAGUGACAGGUGGUGCAUGGUUGUCGUCAGCUCGUGUCGUGAGAUGUUGGGUUAAGUCCCGCAACGAGCGCAACCCUUGAUCUUAGUUGCCAGCAUUCAGUUGGGCACUCUAAGGUGACUGCCGGUGACAAACCGGAGGAAGGUGGGGAUGACGUCAAAUCAUCAUGCCCCUUAUGACCUGGGCUACACACGUGCUACAAUGGACAGAACAAAGGGCAGCGAAACCGCGAGGUUAAGCCAAUCCCACAAAUCUGUUCUCAGUUCGGAUCGCAGUCUGCAACUCGACUGCGUGAAGCUGGAAUCGCUAGUAAUCGCGGAUCAGCAUGCCGCGGUGAAUACGUUCCCGGGCCUUGUACACACCGCCCGUCACACCACGAGAGUUUGUAACACCCGAAGUCGGUGAGGUAACCUUUUAGGAGCCAGCCGCCGAAGGUGGGACAGAUGAUUGGGGUGAAGUCGUAACAAGGUAACCGUAAAGCCGAAU